GUGGGGAAUAUUGCGCAAUGGGCGAAAGCCUGACGCAGCGACGCCGCGUGGGGGAUGAAGCUUCUCGGAGUGUAAACCCCUUUCGGCCCGGACGAAAAAUCCCGCAAGGGAUCUGACGGUACGGGUAUAAGAAGCCCCGGCUAACUACGUGCCAGCAGCCGCGGUAAGACGUAGGGGGCCAGCGUUGCUCGGAAUAACUGGGCGUAAAGGGUUCGUAGGCGGUGUGGCAAGUCGGGAGUGAAAUCCUGAGGCUUAACUUCAGGACUGCCUCCGAAACUGCCAUGCUCGAGUGCGGGAGAGGCGAGUGGAAUUGCAGGUGUAGCGGUGAAAUGCGUAGAUAUCUGCAGGAACACCAGUGGCGAAAGCGGCUCGCUGGACCGCAACUGACGCUGAGGAACGAAAGCUAGGGGAGCAAACAGGAUUAGAAACCCUUGUAGUCC
This 440-nucleotide ribosomal RNA is filed under the name uncultured bacterium. RNAcentral describes it as "bacterial SSU rRNA". It matches the Rfam family "Bacterial small subunit ribosomal RNA", at positions 354 to 796 of the family's 1533-position model. The record is from RNAcentral.